This 649-nucleotide ribosomal RNA is filed under the name uncultured bacterium. RNAcentral describes it as "bacterial SSU rRNA". It matches the Rfam family "Bacterial small subunit ribosomal RNA", at positions 24 to 662 of the family's 1533-position model. The record is from RNAcentral.
UCACAUUGAACGCUGGCGGCAGGCCUAACACAUGCAAGUCGAGCGGUAACAUUUCUAAGCUUGCUUAGAAGAUGACGAGCGGCGGACGGGUGAGUAAUGCUUGGGGAUCUGCCUGAUGGCGGGGGACAACCACUGGAAACGGUGGCUAAUACCGCAUAAUACCUAUGGGUCAAAGUGUGGGACCUUCGGGCCACACGCCAUCAGAUGAACCCAAGUGAGAUUAGCUGGUUGGUAAGGUAACGGCUUACCAAGGCGACGAUCUCUAGCUGGUCUGAGAGGAUGAUCAGCCACACUGGGACUGAGACACGGCCCAGACUCCUACGGGAGGCAGCAGUGGGGAAUAUUGGACAAUGGGCGAAAGCCUGAUCCAGCCAUGCCGCGUGUGUGAAGAAGGCCCUCGGGUUGUAAAGCACUUUCAGUGGGGAAGAAAGCCUUGGGAUUAAUACUCCCGAGGAAGGACAUCACCCACAGAAGAAGCACCGGCUAACUCCGUGCCAGCAGCCGCGGUAAUACGGAGGGUGCGAGCGUUAAUCGGAAUUACUGGGCGUAAAGCGCGCGUAGGCGGUCGUGUAAGUUAGAUGUGAAAGCCCUGGGCUUAACCUGGGAAUUGCAUCUAAUACUAUACGACUAGAGUUUGAUAGAGGAGAGC